Gavialis gangeticus (Gharial) is the source of this 1188-nucleotide long non-coding RNA. RefSeq lists it as uncharacterized. NCBI's taxonomy places the organism in Eukaryota, Metazoa, Chordata, Crocodylia, Gavialidae. The record is from RefSeq and is a predicted model, not a curated record. The transcript has 5 exons.
UAAAUUGUGGUUUUCUUCAACUCUUGUUUCAGCUUCAGUAGUUAAUUUGGUUUAGAAAACAAACAAGUUGAUCUUAUUUCUUAACAGGUUUUUCUUUUCUCUUUUUAAAUGGUUAAAAGAUCCGCACCCCUUGUACUUUAAGAGAUAUGAGGAAUUGAAUUUACGUAUAUAGGUGUUUUUAGUUGCUGAUUUUGCAAAUGAGUUUAAAGUAAUAUUUUUGUAGAAUGAUCUUUCAAACUUUUUCUAGGUAUGGAGUACGAGGGAUGGAUGUAACUGCUACAACAGUAUGUUAAGGCUUUUGACAAAAGAUGACAAAAGUUGGCUAGAGCUAAUGCAGAUGUGCUUUUAGUGUGAAAGAGCGUAGUCCUGGAGCUGAUUAAAGGUCAAAGAUGCUGCAAGUUUUAAAACUGUACUCUAAAGGGCAAAGCUGAUAUCUUACUUGGUGAGAUCAAGUAACUUGUGGCUUAAAAUUCAUAGAAGCCGAUGACAGAAGCCAUUUUAACAACACUGGUUGCUGUUAGUGGGGGUUGAAUUCGGCAAAUAUUUACCUUGAUUCCUGACUGUCUUCCAGAAGAAUUGUAUAAAGGUAAUUGUUAGGAAGCACUGGGUAUUGUUUCAUGUUCCUUUCUGAAGAUUUGGUUGGCUCAUCUGUUAAGCAUUGAUGGAAAGAUGCAUUCAGAAUUCUGUAUGGUAUGUUGUAGGAGGUUGACCUACUCAAUAUAUACAAAGUAGCUGAUGUUGACUGAAGCACUGAAUCCAGUCAGAUGAAGAGUGUCAAAUGGAGUCUACGAAUGGGAAACCAAGAUGGCAGUUCCACUGUUGAUUGAGAGGUUGAGGAAAUGGACUAAUGCAUGUGUGCUGUGAUAUAUCCAUCCAAGACAGGGGCAUUUUAACAUGGACUUCAGUAUUACUAAAUCAGAGAAGAUGUGGGUUUGUGAUCAUCUUUCCAAAAUGGACAUUGGACUGAAUUGAGUUCCUAAGGGUAUUACAUUGGUGAAUAGAAGAUGGAUCUGUUGGAGGGGUGGAUGUCAUUUUUUUUUUUUCUUUUUUUCUUUUUUUUUUGCUUCAGGAGACGUUCACUUAACCAGGAACUUAAGGUGGCAUCAGAUGUAUUGCUGCCUAAUAAGACAAAAUGUAUUAUUGUGCUAUAACAAAUGAUUUAUUUAAUAAAAAAUAUUUUAUACUUUA